GUCUGAAAUUAUCCUUUUUUAUUAAACUGCAGUGUUUGGAUGAGGGAGAUAAAGGAGAUUUGGAGGGAGAUAGAAAUCCUGAGAUCAAUGUCCCUUGUUUGGCAAAAUGACGUGAAGGGACCUGAUUUUGGCGGGAUUUUAACGAAGGAUCUGAACAAGCCCCCUCCAUAGGCGUAACUUUCAAAUUCUCCGCGACGGUGCGAAACUCGCGAUUUGCUUAUGGCUUUCGUCUUCCUCCCUAGCUAAUCUCUAUGUUCCAUGUCGUCUAUGGGCUUUCGUGUUCUGUUUCUAUUAUAGGGUUGAUUCACUCCCAAUUCUGGUUUUGUCUUCUUCAUCUCAACUUCUUCAUUGCCUUCAUCGAAGAAAACAACACUGAUCAUCUUGGGUUGAAGGAUUUCACGAACCCACUGUUCCUCUCUCUCGGAUUUGAUGGCAAGCAAAUUGGGUUGCAAAAUUGAAGGAAAAUCUUCGAAUCAAGGUAAAUGACAGAAAGAGCUACAAUUCUGCAUUGUUCUCUGUUUGGGCUUUAUUACAUUCAUUGUUAUUGUUCUUGUUCUUAACCUUGUGUACUGUAACUGUUUCAACUAUGCAUAAGCUAUUUGCCAUAUCAAAUUGUUAAUUGCUUAAUUAGAUUAAGCCAGAUUGAGGCUGGUCCUUGUUAAGUUUUGACUGCAUUGAGCAGAAUCUUUAUUUGCAUUUUAUGCUAGAUUAUAGAUUAGCUAUGGUAGUUAAUUAGUUGAAUAUGAUGCUUCAGUGGUAAUAUAUUGAUUUGUUGUUUGAAGUUUUGAAACAGGAAAGUUGUAGAGAAAGAGUGAAUCCCAAUAUUUCUUGAGGCUGAAAUGAGUUGCCUCUGAUCUAGGGAACUCAGGUUUCAGUGACUUUCUGGUUUUUCUGCAUUUGCUUCUGUUUGGUUCAUUUCAUGUGUUGGCUUCUCAUCUUUUCUCUUUCCUCUGAAUUACUGGGUUGGUUGGUGAAAAGGUUGAGAGAUAACACAAAGAAGAUUUUGGUUCUUAUCGUAUUCUGUUUCUGUGGGUGAUAGAGAAGAGUCCAGAGUUGUAGAGAUUGAGAGUGAUAUGGAGCGUUCUAUUUAUAGCAUUUAGUUUCAGCAUAUUCUUUAAUUUACCACUGAAGCAUCAGAUUCAACUUACCAUUUCCAUUUAAUCAGUAUUCAUAGGCAUCUUAGUGCUUCUUAUACGUGUCUCAGAUAAUAGGACAUUGUUUUCUUAUUGAAGAAAGAACUUGUUCUUUUUCAUUGACCAGGCAUGAUACGGUAUAUAUCAAUAGGUGUUGAUACUAGAAAUAGUUGUAAACUUUCAUGUGUUUGUAGAGUAAAAUGAAAAUUAGAAUUAUUGAUCUUAGCUUUCAAAUUAGAAAUAUUGUGUUUGUUAACUGAGCUAACCAACAAGAUCUUGAACUGGCUGGGCAAUUACAUAACUGAGAAUUGAACCUUAAGACACCGAUCUCACCAGUAGCAGAGAAAGGCAAAUGAUAAGUGAGGCACUGGAUCAUGUUAAUUGUCGCCCUAUAUAUAGCAGUUUUCUGCCAGAAAUUUCAGUCGACUCUGGAGGCCUACAGUUCUCACAUCGGAACAGCAUAAGCUUUUUCUUUUCAAUCGGAAGGUGCUGAGAACUUUUAGGACAGUCAUCAUAACUGAAGGAAGAAAAAAGAUGGAAAGACAGUGACGGAGGGCAAUGAGAAGCUUAAGGUUGGAAAUGUUAAUGUGUUUCGCUGCUACUAUGACCAUGGAGAAGAAAAUAGGAACUCAGGAUGGAUCUUUGUCGUAAGCGUUCUAGAGAAGAAGAGGCGGAGGAGGAUGAAGAAAGGAUAGGGAAAAUGAAAGCCUUUUUGGCUGAUGUAACUGGAUUUAUAGCAGCAAUAGUAGCUUGGUACCAUUGUAAGUUACUCACAAGAAGAGAGCCCUUGCCUGAUUGGGAUGAACAUAGACGAUUGUAUUUGAAUCGAUUAAGUGGAUCUGAAGUUGAGUGUAUGAAAAACUUAAGAGUCAGCAUGUAUGGAUUUUCAAAACUUUGCCAAGUCUUAUAUGACAAAGGUGGAUUACGAAGAACAAGGCAUGUAUCUAUUGAAGAAUCUGUAUUUUGCGAAAUCAACGAAGAUGAGAUUAGAACUGUUGAAGCCACUAAUGAGUGGACUGUAUUUCAUGAUCAAUUCGUGAUGGAUAUGUUUCUUGACUAUCAAAGGCAUCGACCUCAACAAGCGCAGCAAGAACAAGGAGACCUUGCAAAUGUUCCAUAAUUUCGAAGUUUUGUUCUGACGUUUAGGAUGUUAUCACUAUAAUGUUAUUUAAAUGUUGGCAUUUUAAGUCUAUGAAUUCAAGCAAUACCAAAAUCGAAUUGUGACUGUGAAAUUUCAGUUGUUGCAUUUUUCAAA
Rosa rugosa (rugosa rose) is the source of this 2388-nucleotide long non-coding RNA. RefSeq lists it as uncharacterized. The record is from RefSeq and is a predicted model, not a curated record. NCBI's taxonomy places the organism in Eukaryota, Viridiplantae, Streptophyta, Magnoliopsida, Rosales, Rosaceae. The transcript is spliced from 2 exons.